This 2306-nucleotide long non-coding RNA is filed under the name Zea mays. Its description in RNAcentral is "long non-coding RNA (ZMAY_LNC004341)". The record is from RNAcentral. Lineage: Eukaryota; Viridiplantae; Streptophyta; Magnoliopsida; Poales; Poaceae.
UUAUUACAAAAUAAAAGAUAAAUAUAAAACGAACUAAGGAUCAUCCUUGGCGCAAAACAACUGGGAAACGCCUCCUAGAUCAGAACAAACUCCUCGUUUUGCGGCUCCUCCUGAACCACCUGUUCUUCUCCUGUGGGGGUGUGAGACAGCAAGGGUGACCUCACACAUGACCAUAGCUCAACAAGUUGUGGGGAAACCAGUGGGCAUAAACUCACCAAAGGUUUAGAGUUCAUGUGAUGUGUAAGGCUAAUCAACAACAGGGGUUAAAGUUGAGCAUUGCUUUUAAUCAGUUGGUCAAAAUUUUAUUAGCAGUUACUAGAUGUAAGUAAAUACCGAACCUUAAUAAAAGUAAUAGAACAAAAUUAAUAAAUAAUCUCAUGCAAUGCAAAUGACAAAUUAAAUUUAAGUUCCAUAAAUUAAUCAUGCGAGAGUCCUGAGCUGCUCAUGACCGUGAGCUCGGCUAGUAUACCAGUUUUACACUCUGCAGAGGUUAUACCCUGUACCCACAAGUCAUGUUACCCAUGUGCCAAGGGAUCGCGACUCCCAUACACCUCUACCAAGGAAGCGAGGCAGGGCAACACUACGAGGCCUUUACAAAGUUCCACUAGCUUCCGAAAACCCGAUACAGUUUAUGGGAAGAGCACUUACAAGAAUCCCCCGUCUGACCGCCAUCGCAGCAAAAUCAACCCGAGAACCUCCUUGCAUGCAACUCCCCUACUGCCCUUGCCCCUUUCGUAUAAGGUAGUCUUCCACUAGGUUUCCUAAUUAGUCAGGCAAGGGCAUCCCAUUCCACCCUUGUGGUGGCACGUGUUUCUCAAGUUAAGCUCCAUGUUCCAAUUAACAUUUAUGAUCUUGACAUGAACAUAAAUAAAAUAACAGAAUAACUGGAACAUGGAUUUAAUGAAAUAUUAUCCCAAAACCAUGUAAAUCAAUAGCAAAACUACCCAAGUGAUUCAGGGAUAACAAGGUGAAAUGGAUAAACAGACUAGGGUGACCUAUUAGGUCCCAUCAAAAUUAAACCUAUGCAUGGAUAGUGAUAAUAAAGAGCAUUAUUGGGUAAUAAAAGUGGUCAAGGGCACAACUUGACUUCAAUGAGCUCCUACUCGGCUACUUCUAUCUGCUGGUCACCAGGAUUCUCAGUCACAUGUUCUUCUACUCGCCACAAUACAAACAAGCACAGUGUAUAGAGAAAAUUAACAUCACACCAAACAUAUAAACAAAAUACAUAAUAAUAAUCUACACAUUAAAAUAAAAUCCUAGGAAUAGGAAUCAUAAUCUUUUGGAGUUUUAGGUUUUAAGAUAUGAAUUUCCAAAGACUUUAUGUGCUUGAAAUAGGAUUAAGUGAGAAAUUAUUUUUCUUACUAUUUUCAUGACAAAACAGAGACUCUAGGUGAUAGAGAAUAAUAUUACAAAAUUUUAGAAACUAGAAUAGGUUAAUUUAGAGUUCAUAAAAAUUUUCUAUGAAUUAUACAAAUUAUAGCACUUAUUUUAUAUUAAAAAUCUAUUUUUCAAUUCAUUUAUUCAAUUUAAAUCAGCACUGGACUGGGCCUUAUUGUUUGGUAAGCACAAGGGUCCCUGUGCAAGAUAACCUAGACUCAGGGAACAACUGAGGUGGAUGGCGGGUCAUUUUAAGGAUUUCAGAGGGGCUCUUAAGCAAAAUGCACCGCGAAGGGAUAUUCUCUAUUAUCAUCUGUAGGAUCUUGAUCGUGUGGUUCGGAUUAGAUUACCCACUCAGCGAACCGGUACACGAUCUAUGCCGUUCAAUCCAAUUCUGACGCCCCAGAUUUAAUUACCCUAACUCGACUCUCGCCUGCACGAUCGAAAUGGGACGGCUCAUGCCAUACCCGACCGAAUCAGUAUUCCGAUUCAAAUCCCGGUUUCGCUUUUGAAUCCAGCGGCCCUGUCCUUAUCUUCCUCCGCCGCCUAGAUCAGCCGGCGGCAGGAGUCUGCCGUGGCGGGGCUCUCGCCGGCGAACCCAGAUCCGGUAGUUCGAGCGCCCAAAACCCCAUGCAAGCGGAUCUAUACGUUGCGGAAUGUAAUGCGAAUCUACAGGAAGGUAUCUCACCGGCAAUCGGUGCACCGAGAGAGUCUACCCGCGGCGCAUGGCGGAAUCGCCGUCGACGAUGAAAUCCGUCGACGCCGGUGGCCAACCCAGAGCAAUACGGACGCGACCGCCCUUCCCCGACUUAGAGGAGCUCGUUGAUGUUGCACCGAGAGUGCGGUCGACGGCAAGCCGGGAUCUCCUGCGGCGGAUCUUCUUCCUCUCGACGAUGAUGGCGGCGCCGGUUAGCUAUGUAGGCACAGAC